GGGAGGGGAACCGGGGAGAGGGAAGGAACCGGGGACUCGUGGGGGAAAGAACCGAAGCCCCCCGAGGGGAGGAACCGGAGCCCCCCGGCAGGGAAGGACCGAGGAGUGACCCCUCCUCGUGGGAGGAGGAACCGGUGCCAGCCCCUCCUCCCGGUAAAGAUCCGGUGCCAGCCCCUCCUCACGGGACCGAACCGGUUCCAGCCCCUCUCUCCGGUAAAGAUCCGGUUCCAGGCGCUCCCCCCGGUAAAGAUCCGGUUCCAGGCGCUCCCCCCGGUAAAGAUCCGGUUCCAGGCGCUCCCCCCGGUAAAGAUCCGGUUCCAGGCGCUCCCGGGAAGGAGCCGAGCCUUCCCCGGGAGGAAGAACCGGUCGAACCGGUUCCCUCCCCCCCCCGGACCCUGCACCGGGAAGGAGCCGCUCCCUCCCCCACCGGGACAGAACCGGAGCCGCCGGGGGAAGAACCGGGCCCGGAAGGGAAAUGGGGGGUGGGGGGGGGGCAAAGCCCGGGAGCCCCGGUUUGGGACUGGGAGGGAUAAACCCGGCCCAGUUUGGGACUGGGGACACAAACCCGGCCCAGUUUGGGACUGGGGACACAAACCCGGCCCAGUUUGGGGUUUAGGGACCUGAACCCAGCCCAGUUGGGGAUUUAGGGACACAAACCCGGCCCAGUUUGGGGUUUGUAUCCCCAAACCCAGCCCAGUUUAGGACUGGGGACACAAACCCAGCCCAGUUUGGGGUUGUGUCCCCAAACCCAGCCCAGUUUGGGGACUGGGGACACAAACCCAGCCCAGUUUGGGGUUUGUAUCCCCAAACCCAGCCCAGUUUGGGGUUUAGGGACCUGAACCCAGCCCAGUUUGGGGUUUAGGGACAAAAGCCCAGCCCAGUUUGGGGUUUAGGGACACAAACCCAGCCCAGUUUGGGGACUGGGGACACAACCCCAGCCCAGUUUGGGGUUGUGUCCCCAAACCCGGCCCAGUUUGGGGUUUAGGGACCCGAACCCAGCCCAGUUUGGGGUUUAGGGACCCAAACCGAGCCCAGUUUGGGGUUGUGUCCCCAAACCCGGCCCGGUUUGGGGUUGUGUCCCCAAACCCCGCCCGGGUCGGGCCGGGCCGGCCCCCAGCGCUCUGACGCC
Long non-coding RNA from Vidua macroura (Pin-tailed whydah), 1129 nucleotides. RefSeq lists it as uncharacterized. NCBI's taxonomy places the organism in Eukaryota, Metazoa, Chordata, Aves, Passeriformes, Viduidae. The record is from RefSeq and is a predicted model, not a curated record. The transcript has 3 exons.